CCAGACUCCUACGGGAGGCAGCAGUGAGGAAUAUUGGUCAAUGGACGAGAGUCUGAACCAGCCAAGUAGCGUGAAGGAUGACUGCCCUACGGGUUGUAAACCUCUUUUGUCAGGGAGCAAAGGGCGCCACGUGUGGCGCUUUGCGAGUACCUGAAGAAAAAGCAUCGGCUAACUCCGUGCCAGCAGCCGCGGUAAUACGGAGGAUGCGAGCGUUAUCCGGAUUUAUUGGGUUUAAAGGGUGCGCAGGCGGAAUGUCAAGUCAGCGGUAAAAUUUCGGGGCUCAACCCCGUCGUGCCGUUGAAACUGGCGUUCUUGAGUGAGCGAGAAGUAUGCGGAAUGCGUGGUGUAGCGGUGAAAUGCAUAGAUAUCACGCAGAACUCCGAUUGCGAAGGCAGCAUACCGGCGCUCAACUGACGCUCAUGCACGAAAGUGUGGGUAUCGAACAGGAUUAGAUACCCCUGUA
This 463-nucleotide ribosomal RNA is filed under the name uncultured bacterium. Its description in RNAcentral is "bacterial SSU rRNA". It matches the Rfam family "Bacterial small subunit ribosomal RNA", at positions 331 to 792 of the family's 1533-position model. The record is from RNAcentral.